This 57-nucleotide ribosomal RNA is filed under the name Colletotrichum magnum. RNAcentral describes it as "partial 28S ribosomal RNA". The record is from RNAcentral. Lineage: Eukaryota; Fungi; Ascomycota; Sordariomycetes; Glomerellales; Glomerellaceae.
GGUUGACCUCGGAUCAGGUAGGAAUACCCGCUGAACUUAAGCAUAUCAAUACGAAAA